UUUACCUCCAACCCCUAUUUCUUAUACUCCUCUAUCAGCUUCCUUGCCAUAUAUUCAAGGUCGUCGUGAUCUUGGGCUAGGACUAUCUGGUCGUCCGCAAAAAAUAGGGUGUCCUCAUUUAUUAGGGGGAUUCCCAUUCCUCUACACUUAAGCAUCCAUUUUUUUAGUGCUUGUUGCAGGUAUAUUUUGAAUAGUAUAGGACAUAGGCAACAUCCCUGCUUGAGGCCUUUUGUAAUUUUUAUGCUUUCUGACAAUGAGUCUCGGUAUUUUUAUUCUAGCUGUGGUGUUCUGGUAUAAGUUCUUAACUGCUUUAAGUAGGUUGACAUUUAUAUUAGUUAUUUCCAACGUUUCCCACAAUUUAUUUAAUGGUAUGCUGUCGUAAGCCUUUUGGAGGUCUAUAUAUAGUAAGUGUACCUUUUUUUUCUCUAAGACCUGUGUUCCACAGUAGACCUUCCCGCUCUAAAACCCGCCUGUUCUUCUAUUUCUAUCUCUUUAUAUUCGUUUUCUAUUUUAUUCUUUGGUAUCUUUCCAUAUAUUGUACUUAAUGUACUUGUCACUGCCAAGCCUCUAUAGUUUGCACAGUCUUCUCGAUUUCCUUUUUUAAAAAUCUUCGUGAUAUUGUGGUGAUAUAUGAGAUUUUAAGAUCUUUUGGUACUUCUGCGCCAUCUAUACACAUCUGGAAGAGUUUUGUUAUAUGUCGGUACAGAUUUUCCGUCCCAUAUUUUAUCAGUUCUCCUGGUAUGUCUCCCGGGUCUGCGGAUUUACCAUUUUUUAAAUUUUUACAUGUCUCCCUUACUUCUUUAGUUGUUAUUCUGAGGUUAGUCCCUUACUUCUUUAGUUGUUAUUCUGAACAACAACACGUACAAAUAUUUAAUAAAGAAAAAGACCUUGAUAGUAUCGUCGAUAUUUUUAACAACGCAAAGUCAACACCUGAAGAAAUUGAAAAAGCUGGAGAGACGUUUAUACUGAAACUAUACAAACUUCAAUCAUCUCAAGGGAGCCUUAGUGAGCAAAGAUACGCUUGUUGAAACUAAGAUACGCUUGUUAAAUAACUUAUUGAAAGUUAGUUGGUCGAGCAAACAGCACGGUACUUUUAUCAAAAUUGCCUCCCACAUCUACUGCAGCUAGGCAACAUUCCCGGAGAACAUAUCUUCAAGUACAAAUAUGGCAAGAACAACCUAUAAAACUCGACCAGUGGGGCUGGAAGAAAAUCAACAACACACUGUCACCUUUAUAUACAACCGAAUCGCCCGCCCCUGCUUCAGUUUUGUCAUUAAUAACGUCCAACUGCAAACAAUAUUGUGUAAAAAGAUGCAGUUGCAUUAAAGCCGGCAUGAAAUGUACAACUAUGUGCGGAACCUGUCGUGGGCAAAGUUGUUCGAAUACUGAGCACAUUCUAGAAACUAUAGACGAUGACAAUAUGUAGAUGAAAGUAUGAAUGUUAGUUUAGUGGAAUAGGCAAUGUUUUUGUUUAUAUUAUACAGUAUUAUAUCUGUUGCGUGUAUAUUUAGCACGUUAAAAUAUCUUGGGAGACUAUAGUUACUUUAAUGUUAGUAUAAUUUGAAAGGCGACCUGUAUUUUUUUUGUACUCCACUUUUCAAACGGUUAUUGCUCGAAAUGCAAUACCUCAGUAAUCUAAUAAGUGCGAAAGCUGAUCACACUAAAUCUUACUGUGAUGCCCUUAAAGCUGACCUUGAGUCCAGGUCUGCUGAACUUUCUUCGGAGAUCGACAUCUUAAAUGAAAAAAUCAUUGCUCAGGGGGUUUCAACACAGACUGUCGUUGUGAGAUAAUAAGUAUAGAUAAUAGCGGUUUAAUGCAGGAGAUUUUCGAGCGUCAGAAGCGCAUGAACAACGUCAUGCUGUACAAUAUGGAGCUAUUGCCUGAUAUUCCUGAAGCUACACAGGUAUCCAAUAUUCUGCAAACGGUGACCGGUAAGCAGGUGCAAGUUAACGAUGUUGUUAAAUUAGGAAGGCCCAAUCGUAAUGGUCGCAAGUCCAGCAAGCUUGUUUUGUCAAAUCACACUGAUGUGGCAAAUGUAUUAAAACUCCGCUCUAAGUUUAUUUCCUCCAAAAGAAUUUACGUUGAAGCUGACCUGAGUUCCGGUCAGAGGGAAGACCUGCAGAGAGUGAAGGAUGAUCUGGAGCGUCGUCGAUCCAAUGGUGAGGCAAACCUAGUGAUAAAGUUCGAACGUGGUAAACCUUUUAUUGCCUCAAAAAACUAAAGGAUGUCGCCUCUAGGCACCUAUCCCUCUGCUGUCAGAAUGUAAGAGACUUACGUACUAAAACUGAUCGUUUUUUCUCUUCUGUCAGUGUGUGCGGCUUCGACAUUAUCACUAUUACCGAAACGUGGCUCCAAUCUGAUAUUUUCGAUGCCGAAUUAUUUCCUGAAUCAUUUAUUGUGUUCAGAUCUGACAGACAGCUGGAUAGAGUGGCUACAACCCGUCGUGGUGGAGUCCUGGUGGCAGUCCGCAGCAAGAUGGAGCCGGAACGUAUUAAUCUAGUCGACAUAACUGAUACUACGCCUGUGAUUGACCUAGUAGGCUGUAAGAUAACUUUUACUGGUUAUGAUACAGCGCAGAUCGGCCAGCAUGGCAAGAUGCUGCGCUAUGAGCCUAAUCCAGAAAGUGCCUGACAAUGUUGGUGGCGCCCAGCACAACAGACUUCUGCAUUUUAUGGUAUCAGACCCAUCGUGGAUAAGAUCACGGGUACGAUGAAGACCGAUUCCAUCCGCCACAUAGCUUUAACUUCUCUACGGAGCUCAGCAUACUUGGUAAGUUUCUCAGUGUAUUUCUGUUUUAGGUUGUGGUUGUUCGGUACUGAUAUAUCUAUCAAAAACGCUUUUUUCUCUUGCUUUAGAAUAACUGUUAUAUCUGGUCUGUUAUGCUCCAUGCGUUUGUCCGUGAUUAUAUCUUUGUCCCAAUAUAUUUUUGCUAUAUCGUUCUCAACCACCGGCACGGGGACAUAUUUAUAAUAAGGGUUUUCGUUCACAGGCUUUAGAUUAUAUAGUUUGAGCAAUUCAAGGUAUACAAUAGUUGCCACCCUAUUAUGCCUUUCAAGGUACUUCGUAUGAGCCAGUACAGAGCAUCCCGACAAUAUGUGCUCUACAGUUUCAGUACAUUCAUUGCAGCGCCUGCAGAGGUCGUUGGA
This 3147-nucleotide long non-coding RNA is filed under the name Sitophilus oryzae (rice weevil). Its description in RNAcentral is "uncharacterized LOC115884095". The record is from RNAcentral. Lineage: Eukaryota; Metazoa; Arthropoda; Insecta; Coleoptera; Curculionidae.